UACAGAGGUCUCAAGCGUUGUUCGGAUUCAUUGGGCGUAAAGGGCGCGUAGGCGGCGUGACAAGUCACUUGUGAAAUCUCCGGGCUUAACCCGGAGCGGUCAAGUGAUACUGUCGUGCUAGAGUGCGGAAGGGGCUACUGGAAUUCUCGGUGUAGCGGUGAAAUGCGUAGAUAUCGAGAGGAACACCUGCGGCGAAGGCGGGUAGCUGGGCCGACACUGACGCUGAUGCGCGAAAGCCAGGGGAGCGAACGGG
Molecule: ribosomal RNA, 253 nt
Filed under: uncultured bacterium
Lineage: Bacteria
Description: partial 16S ribosomal RNA
Rfam family: Bacterial small subunit ribosomal RNA
Source: RNAcentral